This 253-nucleotide ribosomal RNA is filed under the name uncultured bacterium. RNAcentral describes it as "partial 16S ribosomal RNA". It matches the Rfam family "Bacterial small subunit ribosomal RNA", at positions 524 to 776 of the family's 1533-position model. The record is from RNAcentral.
UACGUAGGUGGCAAGCGUUGUCCGGAUUUAUUGGGUUUAAAGGGUGCGUAGGCGGCCUAUUAAGUCAGUGGUGAAAUAUUUCAGCUCAACUGGAAUUGUGCCAUUGAUACUGAUGGGCUUGAGUACAGAUGAGGUAGGCGGAAUUGACGGUGUAGCGGUGAAAUGCUUAGAUAUGACAUAGAACACCAAUUGCGAAGGCAGCUCACUAAGCAAAUAUUGACGCUGAGGCACGAAAGCGUGGGGAGCAAACAGG